This 2916-nucleotide ribosomal RNA is filed under the name Escherichia coli. Its description in RNAcentral is "bacterial LSU rRNA". It matches the Rfam family "Bacterial large subunit ribosomal RNA". Lineage: Bacteria; Pseudomonadati; Pseudomonadota; Gammaproteobacteria; Enterobacterales; Enterobacteriaceae. The record is from RNAcentral.
GUUGUAUGGUUAAGUGACUAAGCGUACACGGUGGAUGCCUUGGCAGUCAGAGGCGAUGAAAGACGUAGUAACUUGCGAUAAGCCCAGAUUAGGUAGUAACAACCAUUUGAGUCUGGGAUUUCUGAAUGGGGAAACCCACGUGCAUAAGCACGUAUCCUUACCUGAAUACAUAGGGUAAGGAGGCGAACCGGGGGAACUGAAACAUCUAAGUACCCCGAGGAAAAGAAAUCAACCGAGAUUCCGAAAGUAGCGGCGAGCGAAAUUGGACUAGCCCUUAAGCUUUACACGCGUUAGACGAACGGUCUGGAAAGUCCGACGAUACAGGGUGAUAGUCCCGUAGUUGACGACGUGUGUUCAGUGAAAUCGAGUAGGGCGGGACACGUGAUAUCCUGUCUGAAUAUGGGGGGACCAUCCUCCAAGGCUAAAUACUACUGACUGACCGAUAGUGAACCAGUACCGUGAGGGAAAGGCGAAAAGAACCCCUGUGAGGGGAGUGAAAUAGAACCUGAAACCGUGUACGUACAAGCAGUAGGAGCAGGCUUUGUCCUGUGACUGCGUACCUUUUGUAUAAUGGGUCAGCGACUUAUAUUCAGUGGCAAGGUUAACCAUCUAGGGGAGCCGUAGGGAAACCGAGUCUUAACUGGGCGUUCAGUCUCUGGAUAUAGACCCGAAACCAGGUGAUCUAGCCAUGGGCAGGUUGAAGGUUGAGUAACAUCAACUGGAGGACCGAACCGACUAAUGUUGAAAAAUUAGCGGAUGACUUGUGGCUAGGGGUGAAAGGCCAAUCAAACCUGGAGAUAGCUGGUUCUCCCCGAAAGCUAUUUAGGUAGCGCCUCGGACGAAUACUACUGGGGGUAGAGCACUGUUAAGGCUAGGGGGUCAUCCCGACUUACCAACCCGAUGCAAACUGCGAAUACCGGAGAAUGUUAUCACGGGAGACACACGGCGGGUGCUAACGUCCGUCGUGGAGAGGGAAACAACCCAGACCGCCAGCUAAGGUCCCAAAUUACUACUAAGUGGGAAACGAUGUGGGAAGGCUCAGACAGCCAGGAUGUUGGCUUAGAAGCAGCCAUCAUUUAAAGAAAGCGUAAUAGCUCACUGGUCGAGUCGGCCUGCGCGGAAGAUGUAACGGGGCUAAGUAGUAAACCGAAGCUGCGGCAAUAUACUUUUGUAUAUUGGGUAGGGGAGCGUUCUGUAAGCGGUUGAAGGUGUGUGGUAACGCAUGCUGGACGUAUCAGAAGUGCGAAUGCUGACAUGAGUAACGAUAAAGGGGGUGAAAAACCUCCUCGCCGGAAGACCAAGGGUUCCUGUCCAACGUUAAUCGGGGCAGGGUAAGUCGACCCCUAAGGCGAGGCCGAAAGGCGUAGUCGAUGGGAAACGGGUUAAUAUUCCCGUACUUCUUACAAUUGCGAUGGGGGGACGGAGAAGGCUAGGUGGGCCUGGCGACGGUUGUCCAGGUUCAAGUGCGUAGGCUUAAGAGUUAGGUAAAUCCGGCUCUUUCUAAGGCUGAGACACGACGUCGAGCACCUACGGGUGUGAAGUCAUUGAUGCCAUGCUUCCAGGAAAAGCCUCUAAGCUUCAGAUUGUAAGGAAUCGUACCCCAAACCGACACAGGUGGUCGGGUAGAGAAUACCAAGGCGCUUGAGAGAACUCGGGUGAAGGAACUAGGCAAAAUGGUACCGUAACUUCGGGAGAAGGUACGCUCUUGAUGGUGAAGUCCCUUGCGGAUGGAGCUGACGAGAGUCGCAGAUACCAGGUGGCUGCAACUGUUUAUUAAAAACACAGCACUGUGCAAAAUCGUAAGAUGACGUAUACGGUGUGACGCCUGCCCGGUGCCGGAAGGUUAAUUGAUGGGGUCAGCGCAAGUCGAAGCUCUUGAUCGAAGCCCCGGUAAACGGCGGCCGUAACUAUAACGGUCCUAAGGUAGCGAAAUUCCUUGUCGGGUAAGUUCCGACCUGCACGAAUGGCGUAAUGAUGGCCACGCUGUCUCCACCCGAGACUCAGUGAAAUUGAAAUCGCUGUGAAGAUGCAGUGUACCCGCGGCUAGACGGAAAGACCCCGUGAACCUUUACUACAGCUUGGCACUGAACAUUGACCCUACAUGUGUAGGAUAGGUGGGAGGCUUUGAAGCACGUACGCCAGUAUGUGUGGAGCCGUCCUUGAAAUACCACCCUUGUAGUGUUGAUGUUCUAACGUCGACCCCUUAUCGGGGUUGCGGACAGUGCCUGGUGGGUAGUUUGACUGGGGCGGUCUCCUCCCAAAGAGUAACGGAGGAGCACGAAGGUGGGCUAAUCACGGUUGGACAUCGUGAGGUUAGUGCAAUGGCAUAAGCCCGCUUGACUGCGAGAAUGACAAUUCGAGCAGGUGCGAAAGCAGGUCAUAGUGAUCCGGUGGUUCUGAAUGGAAGGGCCAUCGCUCAACGGAUAAAAGGUACUCCGGGGAUAACAGGCUGAUACCGCCCAAGAGUUCAUAUCGACGGCGGUGUUUGGCACCUCGAUGUCGGCUCAUCACAUCCUGGGGCUGAAGUCGGUCCCAAGGGUAUGGCUGUUCGCCAUUUAAAGUGGUACGCGAGCUGGGUUUAGAACGUCGUGAGACAGUUCGGUCCCUAUCUGCCGUGGGCGUUGGAAGAUUGAAGGGGGCUGCUCCUAGUACGAGAGGACCGGAGUGGACGAACCUCUGGUGUUCGGGUUGUGUCGCCAGACGCAUUGCCCGGUAGCUAAGUUCGGAAUCGAUAACCGCUGAAAGCAUCUAAGCGGGAAGCGAGCCCUGAGAUGAGUCUUCCCUGAUACUUUAAGUAUCCUAAAGGGUUGUCGGAGACUACGACGUUGAUAGGUCAGGUGUGUAAGUGCUGUGAGGCAUUGAGCUAACUGAUACUAAUUGCCCGUGAGGCUUAACCAUACAACACCCAAGGGGUUU